UGAGAGAAUGGUUCAGAAUAGAAUAGAAUAGAAAUAUCCCUUAUUGUCCCUCACUGAGGAAAUACACUUUACAGAAGAAAUCUAAAAUGAAAAUAAAAUUGAGUAAGUGUUUAAAAAAACCUCUGUAUUAAUGCACAUUCGUUACAUUAUACAACACAUGUUCUGUUUUUCAGUUGCAGUUUUCUGCAGUUUCUGCAAUUCAUCCUUUUAAGUUACUUUUAGCAAAUUAUUUGCCAUAGGCCAACACACAUGUAUGUUCACACAGACACACAUUACAUCAGGUGUGUGCAAGUGUGCAGUCAGGGACAUGCGGGGAGGUGGAUCUUCUCUUACCAGGAUGGAAAAGGAACAGUCACUCCCACAGACGCAUUAUUACAGAACACUGAGGGGGGUUCGUUCUCUUCACACAGUGGUGACACCUGUAACUGUCCGUACCACUCAAGAGGACCCUCAAAACAAACCCAACUUUACAGAGGUCUCGGACAUUUGCUCAAGUAGACAAGGACAUGGAGGAGAAGGACUUGCAAUCCGUUGAGUAUUUUGUGAAGAGGGAGGUUCUGGAUGAGUUAUGCCUGGAUGAAGUGGCUCAAAAAGAGACCUGGUCCACUAAACUGACACUGGGUGAUCAGGUGAAAGAGCCCCUGAGAUGUUCGGUGCCCAGGCUGAAACACAUACUUCUAACCUGGGUCCCUGUUCUCAGCUGGUUGCCUCGUUACUCCAUCAGAGAAAAUGCCUUAGGAGACCUGAUUUCUGGCUGCAGUGUCGGCAUCAUGCAUCUGCCGCAGGGCAUGGCAUAUGCUCUUCUGGCUUCCCUGCGACCAGUGUAUGGCCUUUACACCUCCCUCUUCCCAGUGCUGGUCUACUUCAUCUUCGGUACAUCGAGACACAUUUCUAUAGGUACAUUUGCUGUGAUCAGCAUCAUGGUCGGGAGUGUGACAGAAAGGCUGGCACCUGACAGUAACUUUAUUGUGAAUGGCACUAAUGGGACGGAAACUGUGGACAUCGAUAAACGCGAUGCUUACAGAGUACAGGUGGCAUGUUCCCUCACAGUCUUGACAGGAAUCUUUCAGAUUCUGUUGGGUGUGGUGAGGUUUGGCUUCGUGGUCACCUACCUCUCUGAGCCCCUCAUUCGUGGCUACACCACAGGAUCGGCAUGCCACGUGUGUGUCUCCCAGCUCAAGUACCUGUUUGGAAUCACACCGUCUCGCUUCACUGGCCCCCUCUCCCUCAUUUAUACUGUGUUGGACAUUUGCAGCCUGCUGCCGCAGACUCAGGUGCCAGAGCUGGUGGUCAGCCUGGUGGCACUCGCUGUUCUCAUUGUGGUCAAAGAAAUCAAUGACUGCUACCGACAGAAGCUGCCGUUGCCUAUUCCAAUAGAGCUCGUAGUUGUCAUAGCAGCAACAAUCAUUACACAUUUCUGUGAACUUCCUAGUAAAUACAACAUUGACGUGGUUGGAGAAAUUCCCAGUGGGCUCAAGGCCCCUCGUGCUCCAGAUACCACUUUCUUCUCAGGCGUUAUAGGAGAUGCUUUUGCUGUGGCCAUUGUGGGCUUUGCCAUCAACAUUUCUCUGAGCAAAACAUUUGGCCUCAAAUAUGGCUACAAGGUGGACAGCAACCAGGAGCUCGUCGCGUUGGGUCUCAGUAACACUAUUGGUGGAUUUUUUCAUUGUUACUCUGUAACUUCCUCGUUGUCACGGAGUCUUGUCCAGGAGAGCACAGGGGGCAAGACACAAGUUGCGGGGGUGAUUUCCUCCAUCAUUGUGCUGAUCACAGUUUUGAAAAUAGGUCCUCUCUUUGAAGAUCUCCCCAAGGCCGUCUUAUCCACAAUCGUGUUUGUGAACUUGAAAGGAAUGUUUAAGCAGUUUAUGGAUGUCUCUUUGCUGUGGAAGACCAACAAGGUUGACUUGCUGGUGUGGCUUGUAACAUUCAUAAGCACCAUCGUGCUCAACUUGGACCUGGGCCUGGCUGUCUCCGUUGCGUUUUCCAUGCUUACUUUCAUCUUCAGAACACAACUACCACGUUACUCAAUCUUGGGCAACUUACCAGGCACUGAACUUUAUCUGGACACAGACACCUACAAGGAGGCAAAAGAGAUUCCUGGAAUUAAAAUCUUCCGUUCAUCUGCAACUAUCUACUACACAAAUGCCGAGAUGUUCUUGGAGGUCCUGCAGGAGAAGACUGGAAUCGAGAUUGGGAAGCUGCUAUCAGCAAAGAAGAAACGAGAUGCAAAGCAGAAGCGUAGACAAGAGAAAGAGAAAAAGAAAACCAAGAAGGAGGCAAAAAAACAAGAGUCCCAGAUGAACAUAGAAAAUGUCUCUGAAAGAACAAAAGGAGAGAGAAAAGGGAAUAGUGUGGCCUUUAGCAUGACAGAAACAGCUACAGAUGGCCUUCAUAAAGGCCAAAUGAACUUGGCUUAUGAACCUGACAUAACCAUGUCAGAUUCAGACUCAGCCACAGGUUCUGACCACAUCACAGAGUUUUCUCGGCACGGCGAUGAAGAGAAAAAACAGGCCUGCGAAUCGGGCACGCACAGCAUCAUCUUGGACAUUUCCACAACCAGCUUUGUGGACACAGUCACUGUGAAGACACUGAAAAAUAUUUUCAGGGACUUUGGAGAAGUUGAUUUGGACAUCUACUUAGCAGGCUGCCAAGGUAAAGGACACAUCGGACAAAAACAGAGACAGAGGGUUCUCCUUAAUGCUGAAUUAAGGCACUGAAGCUUUACAUAAUGAAUGCGACAAGGUCAUAGCCUCAGUGGAGCCCUGCUACUCCCUGUCAGAUGACAAUGACACAUGAAUAUUUAUUUAGAUGACUACAAUAUGCUCUCUCAUUGUCAUGCAUAUUUCUCUCCAUUUAUGUGUGGUAAAACAGCUUGUGUCGUGGAACAGCUGGAAGCAGCAGAUUUCUUCUCAGCCUCCAUCCCAAAGAGCCGGCUGUUUAUCACCGUCCACGAUGCAGUGCUUUAUAUUCGCAAGAAACAGUGGAAGGCUUAUUUUGUGCUUGAUGUGUCCCACAACACCCAGAUGUGACCAGCAGGGGUCAGAUUCACUCAAAUUUAGCCCUCUUCCUCCUCCUCUUUUCAGGCUGCUUUCUGUUUCAUCACUCACCAUCGUCUCCUCCCCUUUCAGUAAAGGGAGAAUGAACCACCUUGACAUGGCGCCCGGUUGCUAUGGAAACAUAGGGAGCGGUUGCUGUGGCAACAGGCUUUUUAUGAUAUCCUCUAAUGAGAUAUACAGCAAGACGUCACUGCAGCUCUCUCACACUGUGGUGCAUGCAAGGGACAGGGAAGGGGCGGGGCUUUAGUGGGAGAAUGUAACAGUGGACUAAUAGGAGUCUGUAUUUAUAGCCAGUGUGAGAGAGCAGAGUGUUAGAAAGAAAGGUUGACCCCAGAGGGACACUCAUAUGUGAGAGGCGUGCAUCUACCAGUUGAUAUUUUUUAAAGACAACAAAAGCCAAAAGUCUCCAACGCAUAAUCAAUAAAAUCUGAACAGUGUUACUGUUUAGCUGUGCCCCCCCCCACAAAAGCCUUAAUUCUUACAGUACCCCUUCCCAAAGCCCGCAGUAAUGAGCUGAAUGGCAUGCAUUGUGUAGUAGCUGUUACAUUUUAGAGUAGCAAAAUGCGUGUCUAUUUACAGUCAUUAUUUACAUGUGUGGUUGCUCUGACAUCUUGAGCUCCCUUCUAUUUUUGGGCUGCGUGUCAUCUGCUAUUGCUCCUAUCAGAAGCUAAACAGUGCGCCUGUUUAGAAGCUAAACGAGAAUAUGAUUUGCUGUCUGUGUGCUGAUAACUGCCUGCUUUUUUCCCUCAUCUUUUACUUUUUAGCUUUCAAAAAUGUAGGAACUGUAUUUGAUAGUGCACAAAUGUUUAGACAGCGUACAAUGUGUAUUUAUGUGUAAACUGUAUAAUAGACAUGUUUAUGACUCUUAAUUAAUGAGAUGCUAACAAAAUAAAUGAUGAGCCUGCAGGAACACUGAUAAAGGUCUAAGCUAUUUUUUUAACUACCUGGAUGUUAACUAACGGUGGUCCCUGAGGACCACAGGUGUAUGGAAAUUGGGAGGACAUUAUGAGGGUUAAUGAAAUGGGACCAAACGGAGCAGCAAACUGAGGUUAAACAUUUAUCUUCAUAAAACAAACAGUCCAAAGACCACUGAAUGACAUCACAGUGGCUUCAUCCAUCUUUUACAUACUAAACAAUCGUCCCGAUUUCCAUACACCUGUGGUCCACAGGGACAAAAUGUCCCAAGGACAACACAAAGGUUAAAAUGUUGAAAACAUUCAGUUGUUGAACAUCUAUGGAGUUUGUUUU
Haplochromis burtoni (Burton's mouthbrooder) is the source of this 4304-nucleotide RNA transcript. It is a transcript of the gene named solute carrier family 26 member 6, with no coding region annotated. Lineage: Eukaryota; Metazoa; Chordata; Actinopteri; Cichliformes; Cichlidae. The record is from RefSeq and is a predicted model, not a curated record. The transcript has 18 exons.